Mus caroli (Ryukyu mouse) is the source of this 1049-nucleotide long non-coding RNA. RefSeq lists it as uncharacterized. NCBI's taxonomy places the organism in Eukaryota, Metazoa, Chordata, Mammalia, Rodentia, Muridae. The record is from RefSeq and is a predicted model, not a curated record.
GAGGGUUACCAUGGCUUCCCGGCAUUCUGAAAGUGCUUAGCCUGAGAGACCCCACACAAUCUUCACAGUUCAGUGGUCUCUGAAUUGUCACCAUGUAACCUUCUUGCCUGUUAUCUGUUUACUCUGGGGAUGACUCAUGAUUAGUCACUAGCCCAGUAACUUUGUAACCUUUCCCCCGGAGAAUGUGUCUGGAUGUCACAGAUCUGUGCCACCUUCAGCUUUCUCUUUUCAGGGCUCAACUUGCUUCCAACAAUAUCACUAGUUUUUAUGAGUGUUAUGUGAAGCCGCAAUAGACAACAUCUCCUCAUCUGCCCUAGUGUCAGUCAGGUAUGGCUUCCUACUGAAACCCUUGUCUUCACUCCACCUGGCCCACCUUAUCAACACAGGACUUCUAAAGAGGAAAACAGCUGGAAUCUGCUUUUUGACAAUGGAGCACAGGCGUCCUAAGGGUACAAGGAGCCACAAGCCAUUUACUGUCUCCGAUGAAGAUGCUUAGUAAAUAUUUGUGGAGCAGAGGAUGAAGCACUGACUGGGAGCCCGGGAGAUAGCUCAGUCAGUACAGCCAUGAAGACAUGAAUAUAAUCCUUAGAACCCAGAAGAAAAUGCCAGGUGCAUGCUUAGAAUCCCACUGCGGGGAGGAGGAAACGGAAGAUCCCUGGGAUAGCUGGCUGGUCAGCCUAGCUUCCUCAGUGAGCCCCAGGCUCAAUGCUUCCUGUGGCAAGCUCCCAGGGGCCCCAUCUCAAGGGUGCCUCUUCCUCAUGACCACCUGUGACCUUCAAAAUGACAGCUGCCAAGGAUGCUGAAGAUGGUCAGCCUGGCUCAUCACCAACUCUGGAACUCAGCAGCUGCAUCAAUGUGGAUGGGGGAAAAAAAAAAACGUCUCGGUUACAUUGAUCUUUGCCAGUGUCUCCUUCAGCACCAUACAUUGCCACAACCACAUCUCCAGUGGUCUCUGGGAACAACAUCACUAUUUUCAGAUCGGUGACAGUUGUGUCAGGUGGUUGAAAAUGUCAUUAAACCCAUUACUGCUUCAAAAUUACAGUCAUUAU